This 56-nucleotide non-coding RNA is filed under the name Schistosoma mansoni. Lineage: Eukaryota; Metazoa; Platyhelminthes; Trematoda; Strigeidida; Schistosomatidae. The record is from RNAcentral.
GGCUAGCAGUGGAGUCCAGGACGCGUCACAAAUAGGACGAAACGCGCGUCCAGGAU